Molecule: ribosomal RNA, 460 nt
Filed under: uncultured bacterium
Lineage: Bacteria
Description: partial 16S ribosomal RNA
Rfam family: Bacterial small subunit ribosomal RNA
Source: RNAcentral
CCUACGGGCGGCAGCAGUGAGGAAUAUUGGUCAAUGGCCGGAAGGCUGAACCAGCCAUGCCGCGUGAAGGGCAGGGCCCUAUGGGCGUUAAACUUCUUUUGUGCGGGAGCAAUAAUGGUCACGUGUGGCCAGACGAGAGUACCGUACGAAUAAGCAUCGGCUAACUCCGUGCCAGCAGCCGCGGUAAUACGGGGGAUGCAAGCGUUAUCCGGAUUUAUUGGGUUUAAAGGGUGCGUAGGCUGUGAGGUAAGUCAGCGGGGAAAUGCCCCCGCUCAACGGGGUGAAGUGCCAUUGAUACUGCCUUGCUGGAAUGCGGAUGCCGUGGGAGGAAUGUGUGGUGUAGCGGUGAAAUGCAUAGAUAUCACACAGAACACCGAUUGCGAAGGCAUCUCACGAAUCCGCGAUUGACGCUGAUGCACGAAAGCGUGGGUAUCAAACAGGAUUAGAUACCCUUGUAGUC